UCUCUGAUAGUAUAUCGGUUAGUACACGCGCCUGUCAUUUAGAUUUCGCGCGAAAGCUGGGUUCGACUCCCAGUCAGAGAG
Armillaria fumosa is the source of this 81-nucleotide non-coding RNA. The record is from the annotation of a GenBank genome assembly. Lineage: Eukaryota; Fungi; Basidiomycota; Agaricomycetes; Agaricales; Physalacriaceae.